This 253-nucleotide ribosomal RNA is filed under the name uncultured bacterium. RNAcentral describes it as "partial 16S ribosomal RNA". It matches the Rfam family "Bacterial small subunit ribosomal RNA", at positions 524 to 776 of the family's 1533-position model. The record is from RNAcentral.
UACAGAGGUCUCAAGCGUUGUUCGGAUUCAUUGGGCGUAAAGGGUGUGUAGGUGGCGCCGUAAGUCGGGUGUGAAAUUUCGGAGCUUAACUCCGAAACUGCAUUCGAUACUGCGGUGCUUGAGGACUGGAGAGGAGACUGGAAUUCAUGGUGUAGCAGUGAAAUGCGUAGAGAUGUGGAGGAACACCGAUGGCGAAGGCAGCCCCCUGGGCUAACACUGACGCUCAUGCACGAAAGCGUGGGGAGCAAACAGG